This 301-nucleotide ribosomal RNA is filed under the name uncultured bacterium. Its description in RNAcentral is "partial 16S ribosomal RNA". It matches the Rfam family "Bacterial small subunit ribosomal RNA", at positions 509 to 807 of the family's 1533-position model. The record is from RNAcentral.
CAGUAGCCGCGGUAAUACGUAGGGUGCAAGCGUUAAUCGGAAUUACUGGGCGUAAAGCGUGCGCAGGCGGUUCUAUAAGACAGAUGUGAAGUCCCCGGGCUCAACCUGGGAACUGCAUUUGUGACUGUAGAGCUGGAGUGCGGCAGAGGGGGAUGGAAUUCCGCGUGUAGCAGUGAAGUGCGUAGAUAUGCAGAGGAACACCGAUGGCGAAGGCAAUCCCCUGGGCCUGCACUGACGCUCAUGCACGAAAGCGUGGGGAGCAAACAGGAUUAGAUACCCCAGUAGUCCCUGUCUCUUAUAC